RNAcentral lists this ribosomal RNA (301 nucleotides) under uncultured bacterium. RNAcentral's name for it is "partial 16S ribosomal RNA". It matches the Rfam family "Bacterial small subunit ribosomal RNA", at positions 509 to 807 of the family's 1533-position model. The record is from RNAcentral.
CAGUAGCCGCGGGAAUACGUAGGUGGCAAGCGUUGUCCGGAAUUAUUGGGCGUAAAGGGCUCGCAGGCGGUUUCUUAAGUCUGAUGUGAAAGCCCCCGGCUCAACCGGGGAGGGUCAUUGGAAACUGGGAAACUUGAGUGCAGAAGAGGAGAGUGGAAUUCCACGUGUAGCGGUGAAAUGCGUAGAGAUGUGGAGGAACACCAGUGGCGAAGGCGACUCUCUGGUCUGUAACUGACGCUGAUGCACGAAAGCUAGGGGAGCAAACAGGAUUAGAUACCCCCGUAGUCCCUGUCUCUUAUAC